This 103-nucleotide transfer RNA is filed under the name marine sediment metagenome. RNAcentral's name for it is "tRNA-Ile". The record is from RNAcentral.
AGCCCGGUGGUGUAGGUAGGUAUACGUGUCGUAUAUGACGCAAAACGGUCAAGCAUCUGGGGCCUUGAACCCCGUGACCACGGUUCGAAUCCGUGCCGGGCUA